RNAcentral lists this ribosomal RNA (510 nucleotides) under uncultured bacterium. RNAcentral describes it as "partial 16S ribosomal RNA". It matches the Rfam family "Bacterial small subunit ribosomal RNA", at positions 28 to 507 of the family's 1533-position model. The record is from RNAcentral.
GACGAACGCUGGCGGCGUGCUUAACACAUGCAAGUCGAACGAAGAGCGAUGGAAGCUUGCUUCUAUCAAUCUUAGUGGCGAACGGGUGAGUAACGCGUAAUCAACCUGCCCUUCAGAGGGGGACAACAGUUGGAAACGACUGCUAAUACCGCAUACGAUCUAACCUCGGCAUCGAGGAUAGAUGAAAGGUGGCCUCUACAUGUAAGCUAUCACUGAAGGCGGGGAUUGCGUCUGAUUAGCUAGUUGGAGGGGUAACGGCCCACCAAAGCGAUGAUCAGUAGCCGGUCUGAGAGGAUGAACGGCCACAUUGGGACUGGGACACGGCCCAGACUCCUACGGGGGGCAGCAGUGGGGAAUCUUCCGCAAUGGACGAAAGGCUGACGGGGCAACGCCGCGUGAGUGAUGAAGGCCUUCGGGUUGUAAAGCUCUGUUAAUCGGGAAGAAAGGCCUUCUUGCGAAUAGUGAGAAGGAUUGACGGUACCGGAAGAGAAAGCCACGGCUAACUACGUG